Molecule: long non-coding RNA, 521 nt
Organism: Callorhinchus milii (elephant shark)
Lineage: Eukaryota; Metazoa; Chordata; Chondrichthyes; Chimaeriformes; Callorhinchidae
Exons: 6
Source: RefSeq, a predicted model, not a curated record
CCGCAUCUUAUCCUCCCUGGUCUCGGAUUCGCUGCAGACAUCGUUUGCAGCCAUUUCUGCUGGUUUUACUGCCAGUUGCGAAGGGUUUUGACACUUUCCCGGUUUGAUGUAUUCAGACUCGAUCAUGCUGGAAAGUGGUGCCCUCAGCGUCUCAAUCAGCCAAUGCUUGAAGGUACAACUGAAAAUGAUUUUGCAGACGUGAAAAUUACCUCUUUAAGAUGUUCCAUUUAAUUAACAGGUGCAUUUUAACCUUAAGGUUUCUGUCCUGGCUCAAUUCUUAAUUUCACCCAGAGAUGUUUGACGUGGAAGGAGUGAUGUUUUAGCUGGAUGUGUGUUCUGAUCCUUUUGGCCAAGAGGACUUGAAUAUAAGGUUCAUUGUAUGUACAUUGGGAAGAUGUUGAAUCAAGAUCUUGAUGGCAGCUGGCAACCAGGAUUCUUCUUGUAUCUAUAACUACAAAUGGAGCUUGGUUUAUUCAAUUCCUUCAUCGGCAAUAUAUGAAACUAAUAAAAACUUUAUUUAA